UUGAUAGGUCAGAGGUGGAAGCAUGGUGACAUGUGGAGCUGACUGAUACUAAUCGAUCGAGGACUUAACCACA
RNAcentral lists this ribosomal RNA (73 nucleotides) under Bacillus canaveralius. Its description in RNAcentral is "partial 23S ribosomal RNA". Lineage: Bacteria; Bacillati; Bacillota; Bacilli; Caryophanales; Bacillaceae. The record is from RNAcentral.